GAAGUCGGCUGGACCGCCGCUGGCACAAGCAGGGAAACCUGGUGCUGGAGGAACGUCCGGACUGCGCAGGGCAGCGUAGGAGGUAAUACCUCUCCACCGCGAGGUGAGGAUCAGAGCAACAGAGACGAGUCACUUUGGGGCCAUGCCCAGGGCGCAAGCCCGAGGCAAGGGCUUCAAGGUGGGUGAAACGGGCAAUCUCUACGCGCAGCAACACCAAAUAGGCACACGAUGACGGGGCCCCCGAGUGUGCGGGUAGGUGGCACCGAGCCGCACGGGUAACCGGCGGCCCAGAUGAAUGGCGGUCACGUCAUGGGCAACCGUGAUGCACAGAAUCCGGCUUACAGGCCGACUUCACAC
Molecule: RNase P RNA, 357 nt
Filed under: Hylemonella gracilis
Lineage: Bacteria; Pseudomonadati; Pseudomonadota; Betaproteobacteria; Burkholderiales; Comamonadaceae
Description: RNase P RNA component class A
Rfam family: Bacterial RNase P class A
About the family: Ribonuclease P (RNase P) is a ubiquitous endoribonuclease, found in archaea, bacteria and eukarya as well as chloroplasts and mitochondria. Its best characterised activity is the generation of mature 5'-ends of tRNAs by cleaving the 5'-leader elements of precursor-tRNAs.
Source: RNAcentral